Molecule: long non-coding RNA, 593 nt
Organism: Uranotaenia lowii
Lineage: Eukaryota; Metazoa; Arthropoda; Insecta; Diptera; Culicidae
Exons: 3
Source: RefSeq, a predicted model, not a curated record
UCAACUACGCUAGUUUUUAACUUUUAUUUGGGUUUCGGUUACUUAUUUUACGGCUCCUGUUUUUCGGGGCAAAAAAUCUAAACGGAAGUGUUGACCUUAAGCUGCACCGACAAAAAACGGAAGAUGCAACCGAUGCCCUGGAGAAUUUAGAGGAUUUUUGUUGGUGACCUGUUUAUAGUCGAAAAAUUAAUGACAGUACAUGCGAUUCCUGAACCUUCUUGCACUCAUGUCAAAUCAGCCGCUGCACUGAGUCCUGAAGACUGGAUGAACGCCGGAAGUGAUUCCAUUUUUGUUCUACAAAUUGGUGACCAAUCCGCUAAGUACCCAUCUUCAAAUGUCCAGCGGCCAUUUAUUCCCUAAAAAGUUCAUGAUGAAUAUUCUGGCAUGAGGAGCGAUCAUGUAGACAUUCUUGCAACGUAAUGAUCCAGGACGCAGAACAUCUGGAUUCAGCUGUCUGCAAGCAGAUGCCUAACCUACUAACACCGAUUGGUUCUGUUGCAUCGAGCCGACGAGUAUCGUUUCGUUUAUAAAUUUUUGCUAUUUACGGAUUUUUUUUAAAAGAAAUUCGCGGUUGGAAAUCAUUUUUCAAAGUA